GAUGAACGCUGGCGGCGUGCCUAAUACAUGCAAGUCGAGCGAACAGAUGAGGAGCUUGCUCCUCUGACGUUAGCGGCGGACGGGUGAGUAACACGUGGAUAACCUACCUAUAAGACUGGAUAACUUCGGGAAACCGGAGCUAAUACCGGAUAAUAUAUUGAACCGCAUGGUUCAAUAGUGAAAGACGGUUUUGCUGUCACUUAUAGAUGGAUCCGCGCCGCAUUAGCUAGUUGGUAAGGUAACGGCUUACCAAGGCAACGAUGCGUAGCCGACCUGAGAGGGUGAUCGGCCACACUGGAACUGAGACACGGUCCAGACUCCUACGGAAGGCAGCAGUAGGGAAUCUUCCGCAACGGGCGAAAGCCUGACGGAGCAACGCCGCGUGAGUGAUGAAGGUCUUCGGAUCGUAAAACUCUGUUAUUAGGGAAGAACAAAUGUGUAAGUAACUAUGCACGUCUUGACGGUACCUAAUCAGAAAGCCACGGCUAACUACGUG
This 496-nucleotide ribosomal RNA is filed under the name uncultured bacterium. RNAcentral describes it as "partial 16S ribosomal RNA". It matches the Rfam family "Bacterial small subunit ribosomal RNA", at positions 28 to 507 of the family's 1533-position model. The record is from RNAcentral.